Molecule: ribosomal RNA, 261 nt
Filed under: uncultured bacterium
Lineage: Bacteria
Description: partial 16S ribosomal RNA
Rfam family: Bacterial small subunit ribosomal RNA
Source: RNAcentral
GUCCACGCCGUAAACGUUGGGCACUAGGUGUGGGUCUCAACCAACGAGAUCCGCGCCGUCGCUAACGCAUUAAGUGCCCCGCCUGGGGAGUACGGCCGCAAGGUUAAAACUCAAAGGAAUUGACGGGGGCCCGCACAAGCAGCGGAGCGUGUUGCUUAAUUCGAUGCAACGCGAAGAACCUUACCUGGGCUUGACAUGUACGGAAAAGCCGUAGAGAUACGGUGUCCUUCGGGUCGUACACAGGUGGUGCAUGGCUGUCGU